GACGGAGGGCGCAAGCGUUGUUCGGAAUUACUGGGCGUAAAGCGCGGGCAGGUGGUCCUUUAAGUCCUUUGUGAAAUCCCGGGGCUCAACUCCGGAUGUGCAGAGGAUACUGGUGGACUAGAGACCGGUAGAGGCGAGUGGAAUUCCUGGUGUAGCGGUGGAAUGCGUAGAUAUCAGGAAGAACACCUGUGGCGAAGGCGGCUCGCUGGGCCGGUUCUGACACUCAUCCGCGAAAGCGUGUGGAGCAAACAGG
Molecule: ribosomal RNA, 253 nt
Filed under: uncultured bacterium
Lineage: Bacteria
Description: partial 16S ribosomal RNA
Rfam family: Bacterial small subunit ribosomal RNA
Source: RNAcentral